Molecule: long non-coding RNA, 1005 nt
Organism: Chiroxiphia lanceolata (lance-tailed manakin)
Lineage: Eukaryota; Metazoa; Chordata; Aves; Passeriformes; Pipridae
Exons: 3
Source: RefSeq, a predicted model, not a curated record
AGCCCUGGCUCCUGAGAGUUGUUGGGCUUGGAGUGCCCAGGUUAGCUUGGCAGCCAGCCCACUUAACAGCCACAUGCCUUAGACAAGCAGCUUUCUCACAGGAAUUUUGUGUGGCAGCCUUUUUGGUAAGCAAAAGAUGAGAACAGCUGGCAGUGGCUGUCAGCUCUUCCUCAUUGAGCACCUGAUGCCCAAGUGUGACAGGGUGUGGGAAAAGCUGAGCACCAUCUCCUGGAAGCAGCAAAUAUAAACCCACAACAGCAACAGAUGCUGGACCUGAUGCCCUACCUGGGAGCACCGUAACAAAGCCUGAUUUCUGUCUGGCUGCUCUUCUUCGUUUCUGCAUGCCUGGGGAUGAGCUCAGCCAACAUGCAGCCGUGGCUAACCUGGGCAUGCAGUGGACCGAGCUCUGAGGGAUCUGUGCACUGUGCAGAUGAGCUGGAGAGUGGGAUGGGCUGCACAGUCAUUCCUGGAGGCAACAGCAACAUGAUUCUCAGCGGUGGUCAGUGUUUGGCCCCCUUAUGCUGUGCAGGAGAGCAGGAUUUGCCAUCAGGGCUGGCAAGAAGGACUGGGCUGGGUCAGCCUGGCAGGAGGCAGGAUGAUGCCUGUGAGACUCGGUUAGAGGCUGCCUAUAAAUCCAGUGUAGGUUGUUGCCUGGUAAGCUCAGCCCACAGUCACCUGCAAACCUGCAGAAGAGAGGGCUGCAUCUCCCCAGGCUAUUCCUGCAGUCUCUAUGCUUUGAUAUGGCUCCCCCUUUUGUGUUUGUUCCCUCUCCCCUGGUCUAACCUCUGAAACAGUUGCAGUGAAUCACAUACUUUCCCUGUUAACCCACCAACCAGUGCUGCUGGCUCAGGUAGUGACAGGGACCAUGUGAACUUUCCUGUUCCUCUCAAAAUCACAGAGAAGACAGUGAGGGACCCUUGGAAAUGCUCUGGAUGCAUCUGUAGGACCACCUCGUGCCAUGCUCACCUCUGGUGUGAUCUACCCCCAGAUCUCUCCCAAGAGAGC